CACGUCAGCGCGCUUUGCUGACGUGGACAAAAAUAGCACUUACGUGGACGCUAUUUGUGUCAACGUCAGCAAAGCGCGCUGACGUGG
Molecule: non-coding RNA, 87 nt
Organism: Gossypium hirsutum (cotton)
Lineage: Eukaryota; Viridiplantae; Streptophyta; Magnoliopsida; Malvales; Malvaceae
Source: Rfam